UACGUAGGGGGCAAGCGUUGUCCGGAUUUAUUGGGCGUAAAGAGCUCGUAGGCGGUUCAGUUAGUCGGGUGUGAAAUCUCCGGGCUCAACCCGGAGGGGCCACCCGAUACUGCUGUGACUCGAGUCCGGUAGGGGAGUGGGGAAUUCCUGGUGUAGCGGUGAAAUGCGCAGAUAUCAGGAGGAACACCGGUGGCGAAGGCGCCACUCUGGGCCGGUACUGACGCUGAGGAGCGAAAGCGUGGGGAGCGAACAGG
Molecule: ribosomal RNA, 254 nt
Filed under: uncultured bacterium
Lineage: Bacteria
Description: partial 16S ribosomal RNA
Rfam family: Bacterial small subunit ribosomal RNA
Source: RNAcentral